Molecule: ribosomal RNA, 433 nt
Filed under: uncultured bacterium
Lineage: Bacteria
Description: partial 16S ribosomal RNA
Rfam family: Bacterial small subunit ribosomal RNA
Source: RNAcentral
AACGAACGCUGGCGGCAUGCCUAACACAUGCAAGUCGAACGAAGGCUUCGGCCUUAGUGGCGCACGGGUGCGUAACGCGUGGGAAUCUGCCCUUUGGUUCGGAAUAACAGCUGGAAACGGCUGCUAAUACCGGAUGAUGACGAAAGUCCAAAGAUUUAUCGCCAGAGGAUGAGCCCGCGUUGGAUUAGGUAGUUGGUGGGGUAAAGGCCUACCAAGCCGACGAUCCAUAGCUGGUCUGAGAGGAUGAUCAGCCACACUGGGACUGAGACACGGCCCAGACUCCUACGGGAGGCAGCAGUGGGGAAUAUUGGACAAUGGGCGCAAGCCUGAUCAAGCAAUGCCGCGUGAGUGAUGAAGGCCCUAGGGUUGUAAAGCUCUUUUACCCGGGAAGAUAAUGACUGUACCGGGAGAAUAAGCCCCGGCUAACUCCGUG